RNAcentral lists this long non-coding RNA (361 nucleotides) under Androctonus crassicauda. The record is from RNAcentral. Lineage: Eukaryota; Metazoa; Arthropoda; Arachnida; Scorpiones; Buthidae.
GAGAGAAUUAAAAUUUUCACUUAUUUUCCCGACAAAGAUUGGGAGAGAGAUACCUGCAACUCAGAUGUCUUCUAAUGGGAAGGCACAACAAAUAGUCUCUAGUCCCUUAAUUAAUGAACCAAAAGCGUCUUACGACUGGCACACAAUCGUCUCUUGGCUGGACACAAGCCUUUCUCCGCUGGACACAAGCCUCUCUCCACUGGAACCAAAGCGUCCCUUGGCUGGCACCAUAGUGUUUCUCCACUGGAACCCAAGCCAGGACCUUUGUCCAGCUUCGCUCUUAUAUAGCGCUGCCCUCUCCUUCACCUUUUCUCCCAGAACGGCUGUUAUUGUCUCUUACACAAAUUGAUCUAAGAUCGAG